This 70-nucleotide transfer RNA is filed under the name Barbatia virescens. RNAcentral describes it as "tRNA-Lys". It matches the Rfam family "tRNA". Rfam says of the family: Transfer RNA (tRNA) molecules are approximately 80 nucleotides in length. Their secondary structure includes four short double-helical elements and three loops (D, anti-codon, and T loops). Further hydrogen bonds mediate the characteristic L-shaped molecular structure. tRNAs have two regions of fundamental functional importance: the anti-codon, which is responsible for specific mRNA codon recognition, and the 3' end, to which the tRNAs corresponding amino acid is attached (by aminoacyl-tRNA synthetases). tRNAs cope with the degeneracy of the genetic code in two manners: having more than one tRNA (with a specific anti-codon) for a particular amino acid; and 'wobble' base-pairing, i.e. permitting non-standard base-pairing at the 3rd anti-codon position. Lineage: Eukaryota; Metazoa; Mollusca; Bivalvia; Arcoida; Arcidae. The record is from RNAcentral.
GUUUAGGUAGCUUAAGUUAAAGCAUAUGGCUUUUAACCAUAAGAGUGGUGGAGAGUUCACUCCUAUACAC